AAGAUCGUACUUCACAGGAUCGUUUCUGUAGUAGAUCUUCUCAAAGCUCUGUCCUAAAAUAGAGUUGAUGCAGCCACGAUGAGGAAAUAUAGCAUUUUUUCCUGAGCGUGAGGAAGACGUGAGAAAGUUGAUUUUAUUUUAGUUUCUCAGUCAUCGAUGAUCGUUCACUUCUUAUAUUUAUUAUAAGAGGGAUGGAAAAAAUGCUUUCUGAGCGGU
Molecule: non-coding RNA, 216 nt
Organism: Apis mellifera (honey bee)
Lineage: Eukaryota; Metazoa; Arthropoda; Insecta; Hymenoptera; Apidae
Source: Rfam